GGGAUAAGAACAAAAAU
This 17-nucleotide microRNA is filed under the name Corchorus olitorius. RNAcentral describes it as "hsa-miR-32". Lineage: Eukaryota; Viridiplantae; Streptophyta; Magnoliopsida; Malvales; Malvaceae. The record is from RNAcentral.